UGUGGGAGGGGGCUUGCUCCCGAUAGCGGUGUAUCAGUUGCAUGUAAAUGCCUGACACACUGCUAUCGGGGGCAAGCCCCCUCCCACA
This 88-nucleotide unclassified non-coding RNA is filed under the name Pseudomonas trivialis. The record is from RNAcentral. Lineage: Bacteria; Pseudomonadati; Pseudomonadota; Gammaproteobacteria; Pseudomonadales; Pseudomonadaceae.